UCGAUAAGCCUCUGCAUCCAG
Molecule: microRNA, 21 nt
Filed under: Picea abies (Norway spruce)
Lineage: Eukaryota; Viridiplantae; Streptophyta; Pinopsida; Pinales; Pinaceae
Also listed under: 2 other names
Description: pab-miR162c
Gene: pab-miR162b
Source: miRBase by way of RNAcentral